Molecule: long non-coding RNA, 527 nt
Filed under: Ananas comosus (pineapple)
Lineage: Eukaryota; Viridiplantae; Streptophyta; Magnoliopsida; Poales; Bromeliaceae
Description: long non-coding RNA (ACOM_LNC019145)
Source: RNAcentral
UCACGCUAUUAAGAAAGAUAUGCUUUAAAUGAUAAAUAAUUAACAAUAAUCUCUAAUGCAAAAAUUACUUUUGAAAUUAAAUAGAAAAAUAAAAUCUGUUAGGAAAUAAAUUUUUGAAAUUAAAUAGAAAAAUAAAAUCCGUUAUCUUAAAAAGAAAAUAUAUUUUGAAAUUAAAUAGAUAAUAUCUAAAAAAGAUAUUUUAAAAUAAAAUAGGAAAAUAUCUUUUAUAGGAUUUUCACACUCGUAAUCUGUUAUAGAAAACUUACUUUUGAAAUUAAAUAGAAAAAUUUAUAUUUUAGGAUUUUCACAUCUCUAAUCUGUUAUAGAGAACUUACGUAUUUAUUACUGUUUUUAUUUCUAUUUUUAUUCUUAUAUUUAAAAUUUUUCGUACGGAAAGAGAAAAAUGGACGCUAAUUUUUCCGCCAAAAAAUGGGUCUGUCGACAGACCCAAAUUUGAAUAUACAUGCUUUUAUAUAUAUAUAUAUAUAUAUAUAUAUAAUCUAUCAUUUUAUGUACAUGUCCCAUCC